RNAcentral lists this ribosomal RNA (1884 nucleotides) under Campylobacter jejuni. RNAcentral describes it as "partial 23S ribosomal RNA". It matches the Rfam family "Bacterial large subunit ribosomal RNA", at positions 1 to 1761 of the family's 2925-position model. Lineage: Bacteria; Pseudomonadati; Campylobacterota; Epsilonproteobacteria; Campylobacterales; Campylobacteraceae. The record is from RNAcentral.
AAAAAAGGUAAGCUACUAAGAGCGAAUGGUGGAUGCCUUGACUGGUAAAGGCGAUGAAGGACGUACUAGACUGCGAUAAGCUACGGGGAGCUGUCAAGAAGCUUUGAUCCGUAGAUUUCCGAAUGGGGCAACCCAAUGUAUAGAGAUAUACAUUACCUAUAUAGGAGCGAACGAGGGGAAUUGAAACAUCUUAGUACCCUCAGGAAAAGAAAUCAAUAGAGAUUGCGUCAGUAGCGGCGAGCGAAAGCGCAAGAGGGCAAACCCAGUGCUUGCACUGGGGGUUGUAGGACUGCAAUGUGCAAGAGCUGAGUUUAGCAGAACAUUCUGGAAAGUAUAGCCAUAGAGGGUGAUAGUCCCGUAUGCGAAAAACAAAGCUUAGCUAGCAGUAUCCUGAGUAGGGCGGGACACGAGGAAUCCUGUCUGAAUCCGGGUCGACCACGAUCCAACCCUAAAUACUAAUACCAGAUCGAUAGUGCACAAGUACCGUGAGGGAAAGGUGAAAAGAACUGAGGUGAUCAGAGUGAAAUAGAACCUGAAACCAUUUGCUUACAAUCAUUCAGAGCACUAUGUAGCAAUACAGUGUGAUGGACUGCCUUUUGCAUAAUGAGCCUGCGAGUUGUGGUGUCUGGCAAGGUUAAGCAAACGCGAAGCCGUAGCGAAAGCGAGUCUGAAUAGGGCGCUUAGUCAGAUGCUGCAGACCCGAAACGAAGUGAUCUAUCCAUGAGCAAGUUGAAGCUAGUGUAAGAACUAGUGGAGGACUGAACCCAUAGGCGUUGAAAAGCCCCGGGAUGACUUGUGGAUAGGGGUGAAAGGCCAAUCAAACUUCGUGAUAGCUGGUUCUCUCCGAAAUAUAUUUAGGUAUAGCGUUGUGUCGUAAUAUAAGGGGGUAGAGCACUGAAUGGGCUAGGGCAUACACCAAUGUACCAAACCCUAUCAAACUCCGAAUACCUUAUAUGUAAUCACAGCAGUCAGGCGGCGAGUGAUAAAAUCCGUCGUCAAGAGGGAAACAACCCAGACUACCAGCUAAGGUCCCUAAAUCUUACUUAAGUGGAAAACGAUGUGAAGUUACUUAAACAACCAGGAGGUUGGCUUAGAAGCAGCCAUCCUUUAAAGAAAGCGUAAUAGCUCACUGGUCUAGUGAUUUUGCGCGGAAAAUAUAACGGGGCUAAAGUAAGUACCGAAGCUGUAGACUUGCGCACAACUUAGAUUAUUUAAGUUUAGAAUAUGAGAAACUAAGUUAUAUUUUUACUGAUUUUUAUAGAGUAAAGAUAGAAAUAAAACUUAGUAAAAUCAGUAAAAAUAUUCUUAGGCUAAAGUUAAGUAGUUUAAGUUGUGUGCAAGUGGUAGGAGAGCGUUCUAUUUGCGUCGAAGGUAUACCGGUAAGGAGUGCUGGAGCGAAUAGAAGUGAGCAUGCAGGCAUGAGUAGCGAUAAUUAAUGUGAGAAUCAUUAACGCCGUAAACCCAAGGUUUCCUACGCGAUGCUCGUCAUCGUAGGGUUAGUCGGGUCCUAAGUCGAGUCCGAAAGGGGUAGACGAUGGCAAAUUGGUUAAUAUUCCAAUACCAACAUUAGUGUGCGAUGGAAGGACGCUUAGGGCUAAGGGGGCUAGCGGAUGGAAGUGCUAGUCUAAGGUCGUAGGAGGUUAUACAGGCAAAUCCGUAUAACAAUACUCCGAGAACUGAAAGGCUUUUUGAAGUCUUCGGAUGGAUAGAAGAACCCCUGAUGCCGUCGAGCCAAGAAAAGUUUCUAAGUUUAGCUAAUGUUGCCCGUACCGUAAACCGACACAGGUGGGUGGGAUGAGUAUUCUAAGGCGCGUGGAAGAACUCUCUUUAAGGAACUCUGCAAAAUAGCACCGUAUCUUCGGUAUAAGGUGUGGUUAGCUUUGU